UCUUCGAUGGCGGUAAACAGCAGUGGUGGU
Molecule: non-coding RNA, 30 nt
Filed under: Homo sapiens (human)
Lineage: Eukaryota; Metazoa; Chordata; Mammalia; Primates; Hominidae
Source: RNAcentral